This 253-nucleotide ribosomal RNA is filed under the name uncultured bacterium. Its description in RNAcentral is "partial 16S ribosomal RNA". It matches the Rfam family "Bacterial small subunit ribosomal RNA", at positions 524 to 776 of the family's 1533-position model. The record is from RNAcentral.
UACAGAGGUCCCAAGCGUUGUUCGGAAUUACUGGGCGUAAAGGGCUCGUAGGCGGCCAACUAAGUCAGACGUGAAAUCCCUCGGCUUAACCGGGGAACUGCGUCUGAUACUGGAUGGCUGGAGUUUGGGAGAGGGAUGCGGAAUUCCAGGUGUAGCGGUGAAAUGCGUAGAUAUCUGGAGGAACACCGGUGGCGAAGGCGGCAUCCUGGACCAAUACUGACGCUGAGGAGCGAAAGCCAGGGGAGCAAACGGG